CCGCAGGCUCACGCCGUAAACAGUCAACAUGGCGGCGGCGGCGGCAACGGCACCCGGGGCCUUGGGUAUCUUGCAGGCCGGCCGCGCUCGCUUGGUGGCCGCUUGCUGUGCGCGGCUUGGCCCUGGGUGGAGGCUGUCCGGCUCCUGGACGGUCCCGCGGGUCGACCCGGCGACCUGGGCUCGGGGCUGGACACCCGCGGCCGGGGGGGCGGCCUGGCGGAGGGGCUACAGCUCUGAGGUGAAGACGGAGGACGAACUGCGGGUGCGGUAUCUGGAGGAGGAGAACCGAGGAAUUGUGGUGCUUGGAAUAAACAGAGCUUAUGCCAAAAAUUCAUUGAGUACAAAUCUUAUAAAAAUGCUUUCAAAAGCUGUGGAUGCUUUAAAAUCUGAUAAGAAAGUACGGACCAUAAUAGUCAGAAGUGAAGUCCCAGGGAUAUUCUGCGCUGGUGCUGACCUUAAGGAAAGAGUCAAAAUGAAUUCCAGUGAAGUUGGUCCUUUUGUCUCCAAAAUAAGAGCAGUGAUUAAUGAAAUCGCUAAUCUUCCAGUGCCAACCAUUGCAGCAAUAGAUGGACUCGCUUUAGGUGGUGGACUUGAACUGGCUUUAGCAUGUGAUAUAAGAGUAGCAGCUUCUUCUGCAAAAAUGGGCCUGGUUGAAACAAAGUUGGCAAUUAUUCCUGGUGGAGUACGCGGGCCUCUCACUGUUGUGGCCUGUCCUGUUGAGGAGCACAGGCUCCGGACGCGCAGGCUUAGCGGCCAUGGCUCACGGGCCCAGCCGCUCUGCGGCAUGUGGGAUCUUCCCGGACCGGGGCACGAACCCAUGUCCCCUGCAUCGGCAGGCGGACUCUCAACCACUGCGCCACCAGGGAAGCCCUUUUUUGUUGCUUUGAUUGGUUGAGUUCCACUGUCUUGUCUCUGAGUUCCCUGAUUCUUUUUUCUACUUCAUCUAGCAUGUUGUUGAACCCCUCUAUUGUAUUUUUCAGUCCAGUUAUUGUAUUCUUUAACUUUGUCACUUUUGUUUGCACUGUCUUAAAUGUCUCUUUGUGGAAAUUCCUUUUUGUUCAUGCAUUCUUUUCCUGUCCUCAGUGAGCAUUUUUAUGACUGUUAUUUUGAACUUCUUUUCAUAUAAAUCAUUUGUUUUUGUUUUGUUAAGAUCUUUUUCUGAGGUUUUAUCUUGGCCUUUUUUGGGGAAUAUAUUCCUAUGUUUCUUUAUUUUCCUGAUUCUCUGUGUUAGUUUUUAUGCAUUAGAUAAAACAGCUAACUCUCCCAGUCUUGGAGAUGAACCUUAUUGUUCAGCCCUGCCCUAGCUCUUUAUUGUCUGUCAAACCUUUGGUUUUGUGCGAGUAUCCUGUUUUAUUCUAAGUGGCUGUCAGUAGUUGAGGGUGUGCCAGGACCUGUCUGUGUCUCAGAGGGGAGGACCUCAGCAUCUGGAUUCAGGCUGAUUGGAAGCCAGACCCUUAGGCAGCAGCUUUUAAGCGUACGAACCCUUCUUUCGAAGUCUGUGGGUCCCUGCUAGCAGAGGUUUCUGCCGAGGAGUUUGAAGUUGAAAUUUGACCUUCAGAGAAUAUAUUCUAUGGCUAGUAUGUCUGACCUGAUUUUUCCAGGGGCACGCAGCGACUGCCACGUGCCAUUGGGAUGUCCCUGGCCAAAGAGCUCAUCUUCUCUGCACGUGUGCUCGAUGGCCAAGCAGCCAAAGCAGUGGGCUUGAUCAGCCAUGUUCUGGAACAGAACCAGG
RNA transcript from Lagenorhynchus albirostris (white-beaked dolphin), 1732 nucleotides. It is a transcript of the gene named AU RNA binding methylglutaconyl-CoA hydratase, with no coding region annotated. The transcript is spliced from 10 exons. Lineage: Eukaryota; Metazoa; Chordata; Mammalia; Artiodactyla; Delphinidae. The record is from RefSeq and is a predicted model, not a curated record.